This 253-nucleotide ribosomal RNA is filed under the name uncultured bacterium. RNAcentral describes it as "partial 16S ribosomal RNA". It matches the Rfam family "Bacterial small subunit ribosomal RNA", at positions 524 to 776 of the family's 1533-position model. The record is from RNAcentral.
UACGUAGGGAGCAAGCGUUGUUCGGAUUUACUGGGCGUAAAGGGCGCGUAGGCGGCAAAUUAAGUCAGCUGUGAAAUCUCCGAGCUUAACUCGGAACUGUCAGCUGAUACUGAUCUGCUAGAGUGCGGAGGGGGCAAUCGGAAUUCUUGGUGUAGCGGUGAAAUGCGUAGAUAUCGGGAAGAACACCAGUGGCGAAAGCGCUCUACUGGGCCAUAACUGACACUGAGGGACGAAAGCUAGGGGAGCGAAAGGG